Cyprinus carpio carpio is the source of this 819-nucleotide long non-coding RNA. The record is from Ensembl. Lineage: Eukaryota; Metazoa; Chordata; Actinopteri; Cypriniformes; Cyprinidae.
ACCAUCACUCUUGUGCCACAUGCGGUCACAGGGAACUGGUAUACAGCAAAGGAAGGUGUGGACCCCACAGGACUGCAAGGUGGGUCACUUCCUCCCAGUAGACUGACUGAAUCCAGACUCAGUCGAGGCAGUGUAACAUCUCUAGCCACCACUACCACAAACUGACCAUCUCUUAUACACUGGACAGUCACUGGAACAAAAGGUACAAGAGCAGGUUAAUGUUGAGGAUCAGUUUAACUAAGAGCAGAACACUGACUCACUCUUACCUGCCUUCCCAUAGUAACACUGCUGUCCACUAAAGCAGCAGUUGAUAGCUUCACAUUCAGCACUACUGAUACCAGGCUGUCCACAUUGGAUCUGCUCAUAAUCAGCUACAGCACAUUUGUCCAAAGGCUCAGCCUUCGCUACUGGCUUCUGAAUCUGAAGCUUCUGAGGAAACUGCUGAUUAGUCUGUUGAACUGGCUUCUGAAACUGCGGCUUCUGAGGAAACUGCUGAUAAGUCUGUUGAACUGGCUUCUGAAUCUGAAGCUUCUGAGGAAACUGCUGAUUAGUCUGUUGAACUGGCUUCUGAAACUGCUGCUUCUGAGGAAACUGCAGAUUAGUCUGUUGAACAGGCUUCUGAAUCUGAAGCUUCUGAGGAAACUGCUGAUUAGUCUGUUGAACAGGCUUCUGAAACUGCUGGUCAGUUUGCUGGAGCAUCUGAGCUUGAGGGUUCUGGGGCAGUUUACUCAACUUUGGAAGAGCAUGACAGAAAGCACACAGUGCCAAUACCUGAACCAACCACCAACUUCCAGCCAUUGUCCAACAGCUAAUCACACU